UAGAGGAGGAUGCAUUAUAAAAUUUAAUAUGUAACCUCUUUGAAAGUUUCUUAUUAAUUAAUACCGCGUUUUCAAGAUAAGUACUUAUUAUUAUUAUUAUUAUUAUUAUUAUUAUUAUUAUUUUAAGUACUUCUGCUUUUUUUUUUUUUUUGAAUGAAAUUAGUACUUCUGCUUUUAAUUAUAAUAACAUACAAAUAUUUGUCUCAUUAGUUUUCUGUUAUUUGAUAUUAAUUAUUUCCUUAAUUACAUAUACAUAUUAGAAUGAUUAUAGUGUAUUCUCUCUUCACUGGCUUUCAUAAUGGCCAUGAUUUUCCCAAAAAAAAAAAAAAAUAUCCUUCGAUUAAUUCUCUCUUUGAUUAAUUCUUUUUUAUCAUUAAUUAUUCCUACAUACAAAACAAUAUUAUUAAUCAAAGUAUAUCUUAACACUUAACACUUAACACGGUUUAAUUAUAUAAUUAUUAUAUAUAUCUUUAUAUAUUAAAAGUGCCUAUCUAACGGCAAUUCUUGGUUUAACGAUUCUUGGUUUAACGAUUCUUUUUUUUAUUUAGCCUUACACGAUUAACUUAACAGACUGUUAACGUUAAACGUUAACAAAUAAAUAAACCCAAUAAUUAAACCCAAAAAAUUAAACGAUCUUUUUUAAAAUUAAAAAAAAUAUCUUACCCACAUAUCUCUCUAACAAAUUAUACGGUUUCAUUCCAAUUUCAAAAAAUAAACCCAAUAAUUAAAAAAAAAAUUAAACAAUAUUGGAAGCCGAUUCUUUGGCCGCCUACCAUAUUUCUAGAAUCACUUAUUGGUAACUUUUUAAAUCGAGCAUUCCUCUCAUCUCACUCCUCAACUACGGGCUGUGACAAUAACUCAAGCAUUUGUUGCGGCUGAUUCUCCUCUUUUCAUUUAAGAAAUCUUUUUUCAAUUGAAAUCCAAGUUUCUGGUAUAUCUACAUCUUCAAUUGAGUGCUUCAUCAAAUCAAAUCAAAUCACCAUUAAAUAAGAGAUAAGAAUUCCAAUUUACACUUGAUCUUUGUAUGGAUUAUUUAAAUUUUUAAUUUGAUUUUCCUUGCUUCCUUGUUCUGUUUAAAUGGGACAUUAUUAAAACUAUGAUUGUUUGGUUUUCAAAAAUACGGAAUAGAUGGUAGUUUUUUACUAAUUAUUUAGUUACUUUUACUACUUACAUAUUUAAUUCAAUUUUGGGAUCAUUUGCUGAUUGAAGACGAGGUUGAGAAUCAUGAGAAUCAUAUUGGUAAUCCUCAUUAAUUGGACUUUUAUGAAGUAGAAAACAUCAGCCUUAUAUCAUAAAUUAUAUUUUAUUGGCAACACUUGCAGAAGAUAAGUUUCAUGACAAGGUUAAGUCAUUCCAAGUUUGUAUCAUCCUAUACAAAGAUGUAAAUUUGGAAUAUUACUGGUGUAUAAAUAAGACUGCAAUGCAAUGCUUCUUUUUUUUACUGGUUCAUAUGAUACUCAUUCUAUUCCAUUAAUAUUUUUUUGCUGCUAUUUUAAUUGGUUUAUAAUCAUGUAUUGUUCACUACUUUAUAUAAAAAAAAAGUUUAUACUGAUGGUGUUUUUAUUAUUACUUAUAGCAGAUAUAAAAAUUUAUGAAGCCUCUUCAAGUGCGGUAUUUCUACUCUUGGCAAUUUCUUUUUCUUAUCAUCAUUUCAUUCAUUCAAUCUAUUCAAUCCAUUUUUCAUUUUCAUUCAUCAAUGUCUUUUAAAGAUUCUGUUUGUUAGGGCGAAAGGGUGUUAGAAAUUCAUUCUCAUUCGUGUGGUUUUCUCUUAUGUGCUUUCAAUGUAGGAAUCUGAUGUAGGAUAGAGGAAGGCAAGUAAAAGAAAGUUGAGGCAUGGUGUUUCUACAUGCCCAUCAAUUCUUUCUCCAGAAUUACAAUCCCAAAAACUCAAGAAACGACCCAAAAUACAAUCUUCCAUUGACAAAGUAUUUACUUGUGGUUGCUAUUGCGAUUGUUGAAUGAAAUUCGUGUGGAUCUUUUUGAGCUCAAGUAGGGAAAUAUGGUCUACAUUUCCUAGGCAGGAGGAAGCGAUGAAGUUUUCCAAGUAGCAUGAUGAUGCUUGUGUUUUCAGUUACCAAGAUCAUUUUAAUGGGCAAAGAAGGUUCCUUGUUUCAACUUAUAUAGAAUUCUGGAAAAGAUAUAAGAAUUCAGAUUCAAAUUUUUGCCACCAUUAUGAAGUGAUUCAGGAAGUGUAAAUCUAUCGAUACUCUCAGAUCAACCAAGAUAAAAACUGUGAAAUUACUGCUGCCCCCUUGGUCUUUAAGGAACACGAUUGUUGGGACAUCUUGCUGGUCUAACUGUGUUCUAAUAUUUGUAACGAAUGCACACUUAAGUGAAUCAAUUCAGGGUCUUAGCUCUCUCUAGGGUCUUUUGGUAUAACUGCAACAGAGCUUGCUCAUGGUCAUGUUCCUUUCUCAAGAUACCCUCCAAUAAAGGUGCAUAGCUUGCUCAAUUUAUUGGACUCUAAUCACUUUAAUUACGAAUAGAGUUUAAUCUGAACCAAUUUUUAAAUUGUGAGUAGAUACUACUAAUGACACUGCAAAGUGGACCUCCUUGCGUUACUAAUCCUUCGGAUGAUAUGUUUUCUUAUGUAUGAUCUUUACCUCUUAAUAUCUUAUUUAUACUUUUCAUUCAUUAUGAUUAUACAUGUGAAUGAGCUUCUUUCUCUUUGGUGUCUUUCUUUAGAGCUUUAGGCAAAUGGUUGCUUCUUGCUUGAUAAAAGACUAUUUAAGGCUCCCUUCUGCAAAAAUAUUGCUAAAGCAUUCAUUCUUUAACAAGCUCGGUCAAAGGACUAUAUCCAGAGGAAGUUUUUAGAGGGGCUUUUUCAAUAGUGUUUUCAAUUGUAUAUGUUUCUUUUUAAUUUUGAAAAUCUCCAUAAUUUAUUGUCUUUAACAAUAUG
Molecule: long non-coding RNA, 2899 nt
Organism: Cannabis sativa
Lineage: Eukaryota; Viridiplantae; Streptophyta; Magnoliopsida; Rosales; Cannabaceae
Exons: 4
Source: RefSeq, a predicted model, not a curated record